UAGGGAAUAUUGGGCAAUGGGCGAAAGCCUGACCCAGCGACGCCGCGUGAAGGAAGAAGGCCUUCGGGUUGUAAACUUCUGUCAAAGGGGAAGAAAGGCACCUUCGGGUGUCUGACCGCCCUGAGAGGAAGCUCUGGCUAAACACGUGCCAGCAGCCGCGGUAAUACGUGUAGAGCUAGCGUUGCUCGGAUUUACUGGGCUUAAAGGGUGUGUAGGCGGCUUUAUAAGUAAGGUGUGAAAUCCAACGGCUUACCCGUUGAACUGCACUUUAUACUGCAAAGCUUGAGGAUCGGAGAGGAUAGCGGAAUUCUGGGUGUAGCGGUGAAAUGCGUAGAUAUCCAGGAGAACGCCGGUGACGAAGGUGGCUAUCUGGCCGAUUACUGACGCUGAAACACGAAAGCUAGGGGAGCAAACG
RNAcentral lists this ribosomal RNA (415 nucleotides) under uncultured prokaryote. RNAcentral's name for it is "bacterial SSU rRNA". It matches the Rfam family "Bacterial small subunit ribosomal RNA", at positions 355 to 774 of the family's 1533-position model. The record is from RNAcentral.